UGUCCCAUUUGACUACCACAUUGUCUCCUGAUAAUAGAUUAUGGUGGCUAUGCUUAUGGGAUAGAUUAAAACAGUGCCGUGAUCUGAAGAGAGAGGGCUUUUCAGUGACCUCCCUCUAUAUGAAAUGGCAGGACAGUAAACC
RNAcentral lists this small nucleolar RNA (142 nucleotides) under Meriones unguiculatus (Mongolian gerbil). RNAcentral describes it as "Small nucleolar RNA SNORA29 (ENSMUGG00000021464.1)". It matches the Rfam family "Small nucleolar RNA SNORA29". From Rfam's summary of the family: ACA29 is a member of the H/ACA class of snoRNA that guide the sites of modification of uridines to pseudouridines. The record is from RNAcentral. Lineage: Eukaryota; Metazoa; Chordata; Mammalia; Rodentia; Muridae.